UACGAUUGACGGAGCGAAGCGACGUCAAAGCGUAUACAAAGUCGAGUCGGUUUAAGGAUACGUUCGUUGGGUAGGGGAGCGUUCUGUAAGCCUGUGAAGGUGGCCUGUGAGGGUUGCUGGAGGUAUCAGAAGUGCGAAUGCUGACAUAAGUAACGAUAAAGCGGGUGAAAAGCCCGCUCGCCGGAAGACCAAGGGUUCCUGUCCAACGUUAAUCGGGGCAGGGUGAGUCGACCCCUAAGGCGAGGCCGAAAGGCGUAGUCGAUGGGAAACGGGUUAAUAUUCCCGUACUUGGUGUUACUGCGAAGGGGGGACGGAGAAGGCUAUGUUGGCCGGGCGACGGUUGUCCCGGUUUAAGCGUGUAGGUGUGUGUUCCAGGUAAAUCCGGUUCACUUUAACACUGAGGCGUGACGACGAGGCACUACGGUGCUGAAGCAACAAAUGCCCUGCUUCCAGGAAAAGCCUCUAAGCAUCAGGUAACAUCAAAUCGUACCCCAAACCGACACAGGUGGUCAGGUAGAGAAUACCAAGGCGCUUGAGAGAACUCGGGUGAAGGAACUAGGCAAAAUGGUGCCGUAACUUCGGGAGAAGGCACGCUGACACGUAGGUGAAGUGAUUUACUCAUGGAGCUGAAGUCAGUCGAAGAUACCAGCUGGCUGCAACUGUUUAUUAAAAACACAGCACUGUGCAAACACGAAAGUGGACGUAUACGGUGUGACGCCUGCCCGGUGCCGGAAGGUUAAUUGAUGGGGUCAGCGCAAGCGAAGCUCCUGAUCGAAGCCCCGGUAAACGGCGGCCGUAACUAUAACGGUCCUAAGGUAGCGAAAUUCCUUGUCGGGUAAGUUCCGACCUGCACGAAUGGCGUAAUGAUGGCCAGGCUGUCUCCACCCGAGACUCAGUGAAAUUGAACUCGCUGUGAAGAUGCAGUGUACCCGCGGCAAGACGGAAAGACCCCGUGAACCUUUACUAUAGCUUGACACUGAACAUUGAGCCUUGAUGUGUAGGAUAGGUGGGAGGCUUUGAAGUGUGGACGCCAGUCUGCAUGGAGCCGACCUUGAAAUACCACCCUUUAAUGUUUGAUGUUCUAACGUGGACCCGUUACCCGGGUUGCGGACAGUGUCUGGUGGGUAGUUUGACUGGGGCGGUCUCCUCCUAAAGAGUAACGGAGGAGCACGAAGGUUGGCUAAUCCUGGUCGGACAUCAGGAGGUUAGUGCAAUGGCAUAAGCCAGCUUGACUGCGAGCGUGACGGCGCGAGCAGGUGCGAAAGCAGGUCAUAGUGAUCCGGUGGUUCUGAAUGGAAGGGCCAUCGCUCAACGGAUAAAAGGUACUCCGGGGAUAACAGGCUGAUACCGCCCAAGAGUUCAUAUCGACGGCGGUGUUUGGCACCUCGAUGUCGGCUCAUCACAUCCUGGGGCUGAAGUAGGUCCCAAGGGUAUGGCUGUUCGCCAUUUAAAGUGGUACGCGAGCUGGGUUUAGAACGUCGUGAGACAGUUCGGUCCCUAUCUGCCGUGGGCGCUGGAGAACUGAGGGGGGCUGCUCCUAGUACGAGAGGACCGGAGUGGACGCAUCACUGGUGUUCGGGUUGUCAUGCCAAUGGCACUGCCCGGUAGCUAAAUGCGGAAGAGAUAAGUGCUGAAAGCAUCUAAGCACGAAACUUGCCCCGA
Molecule: ribosomal RNA, 1662 nt
Filed under: Salmonella enterica subsp. enterica serovar Muenchen
Lineage: Bacteria; Pseudomonadati; Pseudomonadota; Gammaproteobacteria; Enterobacterales; Enterobacteriaceae
Description: partial 23S ribosomal RNA
Rfam family: Bacterial large subunit ribosomal RNA
Source: RNAcentral